Bos taurus (domestic cattle) is the source of this 2918-nucleotide long non-coding RNA. The record is from Ensembl. Lineage: Eukaryota; Metazoa; Chordata; Mammalia; Artiodactyla; Bovidae.
UUUUCUCCAUCAUAACCUGGAAAGAACACUGACAGGAAGGAAAUCAACAAAGAUCAUUUAUUAUAAAACCAUAGAAAAUUUCCUUAAAAAAUUGAGCUUGCAGUCACUCGAAAGGGACAGAAUUAAGAACAGGUGCCCCCAUCCCUACCCUCAUCGGCAUCUUUUAUGGUGCUAACAGAACUGGAUGGAGCCUUAGCCUCCAGACCUCCAGGUCAACAUUCGCACAAGCCCUGCUUUCCCUGUCUUCUGGAUUAGGGGGCCGGAGUCGGCCCCGCCUUAACCCGAGCGCCUCCAGGCCCGCGUAGAAUUUAGCAGCUGUCUGGUCCGAGCUCUGGCUAAAAAGAAAGCGAAUGGUCAAAUGCAGGCUUUGUGAGGUCCAUCAGAAUCACCUGGAGGGCUUGUGAAAACCCAGAUUGCCUGGUAGCCCUCUCAGGGAUUCCGGUUCUCUGGGUCUGGGUGGGGGACAGAGUUUGCAUUUUUAACAAGUUCCCGGGGGACGCUGAUUCUGCUGGUCCUGCUGUCCUCGGAUAUCUAAGCGCUAGGGCUGAUUAGGGAGAUUUGGCGGGAGAUGUCCCCUCAAGAUGCUGCCCAGGGCUCUCACCUGGAGUCGCAGAUGCUUUAGGUUUUCACCUGCGGGUCUAGCCGCAGGCCAUUCGGUCUCCCUACUCAGGAGCCGGGACCCACACCGGGGGCUUUUAGACUGAGUGGCUGUUUUCAGAACUGUCCCAGGACCUCAGACUAAGGAACUGGAGGGAAGUCCACCUACCCAGACCGCUGGCCGAAGGAAGCAUUCCUGGCCAGGGCUCCUGAAACCCCUCACCUCGAUUUCGGCGGACCCGAAGCUGGAAACAUAUUGCCACGAUGAGGAACUUGGUCACAUACUGGUAAAGGGGCGAUCCGAUGAUGAAGACCAGGACUCCGCAUCCUGGGACUGCGCUGACCACGAGGGAGACCCUGAACCACCCGUAGAAGGCCGCCAGCAUCUCGCUGUCCUGGCCUGGGAAGCGAGGUUGGGGUCACGGAGGAAAAGGGGCCCUUGGGUGAGUCUGCCCAGACCGGCCCCUGGAUGGUCUAGGAUUCCAGGAAACCUCAGGGGCACUGGACCAAGGACCUAACCCCCACCCCCACCCCAGGGGUAACGGGGGCGCACGGGAUGAGAUGCAGCCUGCAGGACUUCAGAGGGCGCGAGCUCCGGGCUCACUCACCAAAUAACGCUUGUAACAUCCACAGCUCGACAUAAACGACUUCUAGGGUGUGAUCGGCGCCUCUAACCCCUCUCAGCCUUUGGGCUCUACGAAGCGCCAGGAGCCGGAGGGACGCGGGGAGGAACAUGGGGCAGGGCGGUCCGGAGCGACCGCGGCCUCUUAGGCUGCCCAGCCCCGCCCCUUCCGCGCUCUCGGACCCGCGUCCCGGGCCUCCAGUGCCCAGCAUCCCGCAUCUCGCAUGCAGCAUCCAUCCUCCGGCGCCGCUCCGUGUGGUCUGCCAGGCGAAGCAGAAGCUCAGGCGCAGGGAUGGUCGCUGGCUAAGGGCCCCUGAAAACAGCCCUAGGCCCUCCAGGCUCAAGUGUGCCACCCCAAGCGUGCCACGGGGUGGCGGGUGGGGAGUGGGGGCGAGCUCCCUGGGUGACAGGCAUAGGGAAUCUGGAAAUCAGGCCACGGGAUGAAGGGGAGCGACUGAAGAAUGGAACCCACGCCUGCUCGGAGGAGUCCACGAUCCUCAAAGCCGCCAGCCUUCUAGAAGGCUGUCCUCUCAGGCCCGGGUCUCCCUCCCGCGGCCACAGAAACCAUCUGCCCUUUGCGGGACACCUGAGGCCCGGGGCGGAGCCUAGGGUUCCAGCUGGCAGCGGUAACACCUGCACUCCUGGACCUGAAACAGUGUGUCCAGAGGGAAGGAAACCCGCAGGCUGUGAAGAUCGCGCUGGACAUCUUGGGUCUUCCUCCCAAACGUAUCCCUCUGAUCUAACCUAAUCACACAGCUUACAAGAGGGCCAUCUGACAGCACACCUGACCAGUGUUUCUCAAAACUGCCAAGGUCGUCAAAACACAUGAAAGUCUGGGGAAACGUCACAGUCAAGAGGAGCCUAAGGAGACAAUGACAAUUAAAGCACAAUGCGAGACUUGCAAGCCAAGUUUUAUUUGCAGCAAAAUAAAGACUAUAAGAGUUGACUCAUUGGAAAAGACUCUGAUGCUGGGAGAGAUUGGGGGCAGGAAGAAAAGGGGACGACAGAGGAUGAGAUGGCCGGAUGACAUCACCGACUCGAUGGACGUGGGUUUGAGUGAACUCCAGGAGAUUGUGAUGGACAGGGAGGCCUGGUCUGCUGCGAUUCAUGGGGUCGCAAAGAGUAGGACACGACUGAGCGACUGAACCGAACUGAACUCAACUGAAAAACUAUAACCCAGGAGCAGUUUCUCAGAGGUGUCUGAAGUGCUGUCUGUCCGGCUAUAGUCUUGACAUUUUACUCCAAAUAAAAGUUAACUUACAACUCUCACACCGUGCUUUUUUGUUCUUAAGUCGGCACUAUCAAACAAUUUUGAACAGUAAUGACUAACGUACUUUAAAAAGAGUUUGUGUAGCAUUUAGAAUCAGCACAGGUGCAUCGUAUUAGCAGUUUAUACGCACCCCUUUCCCCAUUCCUAUCAAGGAUGCUCAGCCCUCGGCUUUGCCACUGGAAGAAGUGGCUGUGGAAUGCUGUCUUAUUUACAUAUUUGAACCUUGAAUUCCAGAUUCAAAUCCCUAGUGGAAGAGUAGGGUGAUUUACUAAGGGGAGUUAGAUUCCCCCUCCCUGGCUCUCCUCAAAAAAGGUGCCACCAACGCUUUCCUGUCUGGUGGACAGGGAGACCUAUCUUAAUGUUUGUUAUCUCCCAGGAAGCAGUUAUUUAUGUGUCUCCAGGCCCACCUUUAGCUUCCCAGCCUGGCCC